CUCUACUCCCCUUCCUGACACCCCUUCCCUGGCCCAUGUAGGUGUGGCAACUACCGUAGGGCAACUGUCUUAGAGACAGUCCUCAGAGAAGCUGCAGGAAAGGCCGGAGCCAAGGCCUGGAGGUGGAAGGGGGGAUGCAGACCCUCCCUGGUAACAAGAGAAGGGCAAACUCCAACCGCAGGGAGAUGAUGCCACUUGUGGGCUCUCAGAUUGGAGGGAAACGAGCUGAGUGACGGGGCCUCGCGCACAGCUGGGUGGAGGGGGAGACCGUGCGUGCGGAGGUGGAGGGGAGGGUCCUGCUGAACUCCCCACCAGCCCCUGGGAGGGGGGUUCGGAGGGCGAGCUCGGUGGUGACGCGGGGCCCUCACGUGACCGCGAGCUGCAGAGCGACGCAGCCUUCGGUGCAGGCGUCACUCCUGUCUGGGAACCAGCUCCCCGCUGCCCUGCGCACGGCGGGCUGGCAUCGGGCCCCGCGGCAAGCGGAGCAGUGAUUGUGGGGCAGUGUUUGUGGCGAGGCGAGGGAAGAAGAAGAGCAAACUGCACAGGAUCUGCGGAGGUCUUCUCAUAG
This 568-nucleotide long non-coding RNA is filed under the name Capra hircus (goat). Its description in RNAcentral is "lncRNA (ENSCHIG00000003913.1)". The record is from RNAcentral. Lineage: Eukaryota; Metazoa; Chordata; Mammalia; Artiodactyla; Bovidae.